This 1506-nucleotide long non-coding RNA is filed under the name Aquilegia coerulea. Its description in RNAcentral is "long non-coding RNA (ACOE_LNC000071)". The record is from RNAcentral. Lineage: Eukaryota; Viridiplantae; Streptophyta; Magnoliopsida; Ranunculales; Ranunculaceae.
UCUGAUCAACCCCAAUAUAAAUGUGAACCAGAUACUGCACGCCCCUGCAAUUCUCCAUUCAUCAUACAUAUACAAAAUGAACAUCUGGAAGGGAUGGCUUUGGUCGGAUCACGUACAUAUUGAGUAUUGACUGAUGGGUACGUAUAUAGUUACCCAACACGUCAUCAUCAUUAUAUUAUGUAUAAAUACUACACUAUGCAUAAUAACAAAUUACAUAUACUGUAUGAGGGAUAUGGGGUGAUCUCUGCUGCAAGCCUGCAAUAGUUUCUCUGCUGAAUUAUGCUGAACAAUAGCAAUAGUUUCACUGCAAUAGUUUCUCUGCAAGCCUGCAGUAGUAGUUGGAUUUUUUAUAUUUUGGUUCACCUAGAUGUAGACUGCAGAUUGAUCGCGUUCUUAAGGUAUUUGUUAUGAUUAAUUUCUGUUGUUAAUUUUGUUUUUCUAGUUUCCUUGUUUUGCUGUCGUUAUUAUAUCUAGUUGAGUUACUUGAGAACUCUCUGAAAAUAAACUCAAAACAAAUUCUUAGCUAUUUCAAAGACACAGACAGCUCAUGUAGAACCAUAAUUUGAAUUUCUAUCCCCACAGACCACAGUUAAUAUUAGUCGGGUUCAUUGUGAGAUUUUGUAGGCAGUAAUAAUUUUAGUGUUCUGCAAUGGCUUAUAUCAUAUAAAUGACGCUGAUUCAAGUUUGGUUCUUUUGUGGAGAUUUUUUUGAUUCUUCUGGGUGAUGAUCUUAAUUUCAUGAAGAUCAUUAUCCCUGAAUACAGUACCUUUCAAAUUUUUAUUUUUGCGAAGACUUCAUACAUAAUAAUUUGGGAAAGUUCAAGUAAGAUCAAUUUGGGACUCUGGGUACCUCUAAAUUGAUUUUCAUAACAACAAAUUUUUAUAUGGAUGUUUUUUUCCUCAGUCUUUGGAAGCCUAACCAACAGGCUACCAGUCUUUCACAUUUUAUUAUUCUCUCUCUCUUCACAUGCCUAUUCAACAGAAAGUGCUAUAGGCAAAAACAAAACAGUAUAAUUUUCUUAAGAAAUUGAAAUCAAUUUGAUCUUCAGGAGAUAUGUAGGUGCCUAACUUUUAACAUCAUCACCUAAAGAUACCUCUAAUUGCUAGUUUUAACUGCAAUUGCAAUCUGUGCGAUUCAUGAAACUAAAUUGCAAUUUGCCCAAUCAUCUACCACUAUUAUUAUGUGUAUAAGAACAACAAUCAAACAGUCAAAGAACAAUCAAUAUUAAAUAAAUUUGUACCUGACAAAAACUUUGCAGAAGUUUUAUUGAUUGAGCGCCAACAAUUAAGAAGAAAAAGGAGAUCGAUUUGUUUGAUUUUGUGUUUGUUGAUUGGGUUAGAACAAUUAUAUAGAAGUGAAGGAAUUUUGUGUUUGUUGAUUGGGUUAGAACAAUUAUAUAGAAGUGAAGGAAGAAGAAGUAAAUAGAUUUUCAUUACAAUUUGUAUUGAAAAUCACUUUCUAUUUUUAUUUUUAUUUCCAUUACAAUUUGAUUUGAAGUUGGAAAAG